UCGGCUUAGAGUUUGAUCAUGGCUCAGGACGAACGCUGGCGGCAUGCCUAAUACAUGCAAGUCGAACGAAGGAGCUUGCUCCUGAGUGGCGGACGGGUGAGUAACACGUGGGUAACCUGCCCAAAAGUGGGGGAUAACAUCUGGAAACAGGUGCUAAUACCGCAUAACAACUACUUCACAUGAUCGUAGCUGAAAGAUGUCUGUAUCGCUUUUGGAUGGACCCGCGGCGUAUUAGCUAGUUGGUGAGGUAACGGCUCACCAAGGCAAUGAUACGUAGCCGACCUGAGAGGGUAAUCGGCCACAUUGGGACUGAGACACGGCCCAAACUCCUACGGGAGGCAGCAGUAGGGAAUCUUCCACAAUGGGCGAAAGCCUGAUGGAGCAAUGCCGCGUGAGUGAAGAAGGUUUUCGGAUCGUAAAACUCUGUUGUUGAAGAAGAACAUGCGUGAGGUAAUUCACGUACUGACGGUAUUCAACCAGAAAGCCACGGCUAACUACGUGCCAGCAGCCGCGGUAAUACGUAGGUGGCAAGCGUUGUCCGGAUUUAUUGGGCGUAAAGAGAAUGUAGGCGGUUUAUUAAGUUUGAAGUGAAAGCCCUCGGCUCAACCGAGGAAGUGCUUCGAAAACUGGUAAACUUGAGUGCAGAAGAGGAAAGUGGAACUCCAUGUGUAGCGGUGGAAUGCGUAGAUAUAUGGAAGAACACA
Molecule: ribosomal RNA, 704 nt
Filed under: uncultured Lactobacillus sp.
Lineage: Bacteria; Bacillati; Bacillota; Bacilli; Lactobacillales; Lactobacillaceae
Description: bacterial SSU rRNA
Rfam family: Bacterial small subunit ribosomal RNA
Source: RNAcentral